Molecule: ribosomal RNA, 234 nt
Filed under: Bacillus licheniformis
Lineage: Bacteria; Bacillati; Bacillota; Bacilli; Caryophanales; Bacillaceae
Description: partial 16S ribosomal RNA
Rfam family: Bacterial small subunit ribosomal RNA
Source: RNAcentral
GGUCAGCGGCGGACGGGUGAGUAACACGUGGGUAACCUGCCUGUAAGACUGGGAUAACUCCGGGAAACCGGGGCUAAUACCGGAUGCUUGAUUGAACCGCAUGGUUCCAAUCAUAAAAGGUGGCUUUUAGCUACCACUUACAGAUGGACCCGCGGCGCAUUAGCUAGUUGGUGAGGUAACGGCGCACCAAGGCGACGAUGCGUAGCCGACCUGAGAGGGUGAUCGGCCACACUG